RNAcentral lists this ribosomal RNA (518 nucleotides) under uncultured bacterium. Its description in RNAcentral is "bacterial SSU rRNA". It matches the Rfam family "Bacterial small subunit ribosomal RNA", at positions 10 to 542 of the family's 1533-position model. The record is from RNAcentral.
AGUUUGAUCAUGGCUCAGGACGAACGCUGGCGGCGUGCUUAACACAUGCAAGUCAAGGGGGCCCAGCAAUGGGCAACCGGCGAACGGGUGCGUAACACGUGAGCAACCUACCGAAAUGCGGGGGAUAGCCGGCCUAACGGCCGAGUAAUACCGCAUACGCUCUUUAUGAGGCAUUUCAUGGAGAGGAAACCUACGGGGUAUUUCGAGGGGCUCGCGGCCUAUCAGCUAGUUGGCGAGGUAACGGCUCACCAAGGCAACGACGGGUAGCUGGCCUGAGAGGAUGGCCAGCCACAUUGGGACUGAGAUACGGCCCAGACUCCUACGGGAGGCAGCAGUGGGGAAUCUUGCGCAAUGGCCUAACGGCUGACGCAGCGACGCCGCGUGUGGGAUGAAGCUCCUCGGAGUGUAAACCACUGUUGCCCGGGACGAAUAGCUCGAUUAAUCGAGCCUGACGGUACCGGGUGAGGAAGCACCGGCUAACUCCGUGCCAGCAGCCGCGGUAGUCGGGCCCAAUCGCC